RNAcentral lists this long non-coding RNA (3165 nucleotides) under Nicotiana tabacum (common tobacco). RNAcentral's name for it is "long non-coding RNA (NTAB_LNC001660)". Lineage: Eukaryota; Viridiplantae; Streptophyta; Magnoliopsida; Solanales; Solanaceae. The record is from RNAcentral.
GGAUGGACUCUCAAUAUCGGGCCAGUAGGUGGCCCGGCCUAGCAGAUUUUACAGAAGUAGCAGACUCCAACGAGCAAGAAAAGCAACCCUGGCUGGAACUUGGGCCUGUGUUCCAAAUGAACUUAGCAGGCCUAAAUUGAUCAUGUAUGGUAAAAAAAGAGAGGAAACAUUAGUACAUGUCAACAUUAGCUACAAAAAUAAAUAGUGACAUAUAAGUAAAAGAUGUAGAAAGUCAUAGUAGGGUUUUUAAUUUUUAGUUUUUGUUAAUCCUAUGAAGAUUAGUUAAGGUCGAUGACCAAAGGCUUAGGAUGAACCAUGUCUCAUUUAUGAAAUACCCCUAUGGACACCUGACACUUCACAGCUCAUGAGGGUAUCAUGGACCCCGAGCAGUGCUUGUGCUAGGGAGAGGUAUCUCAGUCACAAGACCGGGCUCACACCCAAAUACCCCUAAUCAUUGAAUCUUUACUCCUCCUUAAAGGCUUAGACACAAAUGAAUGUCAACAUAGCUCAACCAAUGUAGCCAAACAAAUACAACAGGUUCAUCCACAUAGGAAAAUACUAAUCAAACAAUCAUAUUUGGCCUUGCAGCUAUUACAGAAGCACCAAUCAAUAGACAACUAAAGACUUAACACCCUGUUAGGCUUGAUAAUCUCUUGGAAGAACACAACAUUACAAGGACAAGUUACUACAAAAGGCUCAUUAGUGGAAACUAAGGCCUUAGUGUUAAUUCCAAAUAUCAUACCAUGCACAACAACUUGUGAGGAUCAAUAAUAGAACACAGUCAAGGAGAGGUCACGCACAAAGAAAGCUGAUUGCAUGCUAUUAGUAAAUAGGACCUAUUUCCAUCUACUUCAAGUUCAGAGAUGCCUCAUUAAGUGAUCUAAUUAUCAAUGAGUGACAGGGAAGGACAUAUGCAUAUUUCAUAAAUUUUAUUGAAGAUUCAACAUUGCAAGAUCUUUAAAUAGGUUCAUAACACUCAGAACAUGUCACCAGGCAUUUCAAUAAUCUUUAGAACAGUCCAAAGCAAACAUACAUAUAACUGAGACCUAGUUCACUAAAUACUUUAACUAAUAGACUUGAUCAGACUUCCUAAAGAUAACAUCAACCAACAGAGACAUCAACAUGAAUAGAAGAGUUGGUUUUUGUCUUGUUUAGACCUAAUAGCAUGAUACCUAGGUGUUGUCCAUCAGGUUUUCAGAUUAUUAAAUCCAAACAACUCUAGAUUCAUGAUUAAGUUCUUUAUAGAUAGUGAUAUUAACCAGACAUGAGAUGGUAAGUAGGGAUGUUCAUUCUUAGUAGGUGAGAACAUGGUAAACAGGUCAUAGAAAGUUUGCUCAAACAUGUGAGUGAUUCUACUAGCAGGUUACACCAACAUACAUCCCAUUUUAGAUCCUAUGUUCAACAUCAUUCACUCAAAUUAUUAGGUUAUUAAGGUAGACAUUAUUCGAUCCGACAAGAGAAGAUUUCAAUAGGGAGCAUAGUAGUUUAAACAUGAAACUUUCUCAACUUAAGGGCAUAUGAAGGUUCAUGAACAUCACUGGACUUGCAGAAGCAACAUGAUAAAUAAAAGCACAAAAAUAGAGGUCAAUAAGAGUCAUUCAACCAACCAACAGAAAAGGUUUCAGGUAGCUACUACUGUAGAGUUCAUAGUCAUAAGGUAGCUAGUGAUGACAAGUCUGGUCAAAACACAGCAAGUCGACAUGUUUAGUGAUAGCUAUGCUAAAAUGUUCACCACAUGAUUUCAAACUACAGUGAUAGAAAUACAUGAAUCACUAAAUGUUCAAAACAGACAUGGCAUUAAUAACAGGUUUGUCAGCUAAGGUCAUCAAAGCAGACAUAUCAAAUAUAAGACAUGGGAUGCUAGGAGAACCAUACAUUCGACGAACAUAAGGCAACAUAACUUCAUAGGCAUGAAAGUCAAGUUAACCUAUUACUGGAGAUGUGAAAUCUUAACAAGAUAUCACGAAGAGUUCAAGAACAUGAUUCAAUUGACUUAGCUGAUAUGAUAGUUUUUUAUAUGACUAUUACUUUAGCUGGCAGAGGUGGCUUACACAUAACAACAAUAUACAGUUUUAGCUCAGCUAAUCAUAAAGGCUUAAUAAGAUUUUUUCAUAAGGAAAACAGUAGUGCCGAAUCUUUUUUUUCUAGCUAAGUUAUGAGAGAUGGAACUCAUUAACAACAUAAAUUGACUAGCAAUAUAAAACAACCUAACUUAUUAGGAAAUUAUCAACUCAAUCAGCGAAAAUGGCAUGCAAAAGCAGAACAUAACAAAUAUAGCCAUAUACCACUGAUGCAUAUCAUAAACAAAAGGUGAUUAAUAUGAAAAACAACAUAAACACAAAAUUGCACAAUUAAUUAAAAGAUAGAGAGAGGGUCAGUGUACACUGACCUUCUGUAGAGAAGCAAACCAAGUAGGAGUAAUUAAUAGUCGUUCAGGGAUCCAAAACCAACAACGGUCAACUCACAAAGGUUGAACUCGAUUAGAAAUGAAAGGAAUAAAAAAGAAAUUAGAGAAGCACUACUGGAACUUUAAACUCAACAAAGAGUUUAUAUUCUCAAUGCCUUUCUUUUCUUUCAAUGUAUUUUUCGGUGUAUGUUAGGAGAACAUUUAAGGCCCUAUUUAUAGUGGCUUUCAAGCCUUAGGGUUCCGAUAACAGAUAAUGAUAUCAAGAAGGGGGAAAAUUAGAAGAAAACAGAGGGAAAAAUAGUGAUGAUUUUACCUAGGCACGAGGAGGUUGACCGUUGAAGCCAUCAGACCAUCAAUCAAACCCUAAUAUCCAGAGGUCACUACGUUUGACCUCUAGAUAACGAAUAAUAAUGAUGAAGCUGAAGAUAAUGGUCAUGCAUGCUUCGAUUCGACGGAAUAGAGAAAGGACAAUGAUAUACCCAUGUAUCAAUAUGUUUAGGGUUUCUGAGGAUUUGGUGUUUGAAUCAAAGUGAUGAAAGAGGAAGGUUUCAUGCGGGAUUCGCGGCUUGCAUGGACAAAAUGGAUGUUUCAGGGUUUGAUUCGAGUGGCCUUGCACAAAUUUGUGCAAGGUUUUUGGAUUGAUGGGUUUGUGGUUUGAGAGAAAAUGGAGAGAAAGGGAAAACUAGGGCGGCUACGUGGUGAUAGAAUAAUUAGGGUUAGGGGUUCUCUUAGGUUUAAAGUGAGGGACAAAAUCUGAG